UGGGAGGGAAGGAUGGGAGGGAGGAGUAACAAAAGUGAAAACAAUUUCAAAUAGAUUUCAGUUUUUAGUUUUUGUUUUUACUUUUGUUACUCCUCCCUCCCAUCCUCCCCUCUCAUCUUCCCUCUA
Molecule: microRNA precursor, 126 nt
Filed under: Prunus dulcis (almond)
Lineage: Eukaryota; Viridiplantae; Streptophyta; Magnoliopsida; Rosales; Rosaceae
Description: sRNA ncRNA
Source: RNAcentral